Molecule: non-coding RNA, 1747 nt
Organism: Xyrichtys novacula (pearly razorfish)
Lineage: Eukaryota; Metazoa; Chordata; Actinopteri; Labriformes; Labridae
Source: the annotation of a GenBank genome assembly
GUGCAUAAAUGUAUAUAGAAGUUAUCAUUAUUCCUCAUAUUCUUAUGUAAGAGUUGACUACAAGUAUAAACUGUUUUGACCUCUUUUUAUACAUUAUAUAAGAGUGUUUCCUAACUUCUCUCUCCAAUAGAUUUACUACACAGCAGAACAAUGUUCUUUCAGUUUUCUGUGACUGGGUCUUUCCUAUCAGCAGGUGGGGGUGUGUGAGUGAUGGAUCCUCCGCUAAUAAAUCGUGGGGAGUUUUUGAGGAGGUGCCGCUGUUAUCAGAAGGAGCUCAUUAGAUGCCGCCUUGACCUUCACAUAUUCACAAGUGUUCAUUAUUAUGCUUUAUGAGAAUGUUUACUUUGCUGCACCAUCUACCACCCCUUUUAGAAACAUUGUGUAACCAGGGACAAGACUAAAUAAAAGAGACUGGGCGGAAAUACCUUUAGAGUGGUUUCGACAUGGUACCUGAAGCUAUCUCGGUCCAUUCUCCUCGAGUAUAUACCAUUGUCUUUCUCUUCUUUAUAUGUUAUCAGGUAAAUGUUGCAGGUUUUAGACCUAACAUUUCUUUGGUCCUUCGAGCCGGAUUCCAAUAGACCAGACGAUUCCAGCAGGUGAGGUGGACGACAGAUAAGACCGUGGCCACGGCAGACUCUUUAGGAUGAGUCUUGAAGACCUCUUUGAGGAACUGGACUCGACCUGCCUGCUGGGAUCCGACGGUUGACGGAAAUCCGAAGCCAAGGGGAAAGACAAGUGGUGAGUUGGUCUCUUAUAAAAAGGAACGUGGAAUGAUUGAGAUUCGCUUCGCGUAGAGAAUCUAUAAAAGACCAAACAAACAAAAGGACGCACAGGUCCUACGUAUAAAAAUCUGUGGAAAAGGACGCACAGGUCCUACGUAUAAAAAUCUGUGGAAAAGGACGCACGGGUCCUACGUAUAAAAAUCCGUUGAAAAGGACGCACGGGUCCUACGUAUAAAAAUCCGUGGAAAAGGACAAACGGGUCCUACAAAUCCGUGAAAAAAGGACGGUAGAGUCCAAAUUGGAAAAUUUUAAUUCAAGGACGCACGGGUCCUACAAAGCCGUUAAAAAAUUCUGCAGAACAAAACACGUGUUAAAAGUGUGAUUGUGAAAGUGUGAGAGUGAUUGGAAUAGGCAUAUAUCACUAGAUAUAUCCUAUUCAUACCAAAACAGUGGGAUUGUAAGUAGUGACCUUAUUGUGGAAGCAAAGGCAAGAAUUCUCCACUCGCAAGAGUAGAAGUGAGAAUUACCACAUAAGGAAUUUUUAUCACUACCCCAUUGAAAGAACCCAGCUUAAUAGGACACCCUAGGUGUCACCUAAGCUGGACCAAAACACAUAAAAAUGGGGACGGAAACCAGUAAGGCUAAUUUGGAAGAAUUAAGAUGUCAAGAUUGGAGAAUCUUUGAAAAAGAGCCAGAAAAAUUACAAUUCCUCGAAUUAUGGGUAACUAAAUUUGGAUUCGAUGGCAGCCUAAGAACAAGCCAAUUAAAUAAACUACACGACUCCAUAAGCAUAAAAUAUGGGUGUCAAAUGAUUGAUGAAUGGAAAAAAGUAGCAAAAGCCAGAGAGGAUGGAGAAAGGAGGAGAAAAAAGGGAAGAACAAAUGGAGCUAGUGCAUUUUUUGCAGAAGGUGACAAUGAAAAUGAAGCCUUCUAUCAAAAUGCAAGAGGCAGAAGCAGAAGAGGAUUCAGAGGUAGAGGACAAGAUAGGCCCAGAUCAGGAGGAGCAAAUCAAAGAGGGACAUGUU